GCCCUGCGGUGCGGUGGGCAUUGCCAGAGCAGGGCGCCCCCUGCAGGGACGCACCCGGGGCGGGGGCCAGGCUGGGGCGAGCCCCCCUUGGUUCUGGAGAGGAAAUGACAUACAGUUUGUGAAAGCAUAAAUAUUCGUGAAAAUAAGAAAAUUCAGGAAGGAAACAAAGCUUAAGGCAGUGAUUGAUAGGUUAUUUCUUGGACACAGCUGAACGUAUACUGUGCGCCUGCAACUUUCCGGUGGUUUCGGACCGGACUUCAGUGAAGCCAGUGAAGUCGGUCGACUUGCAGAACUUCCUUUCAGAGGGGCGUACACAGCACCGCGGCCGUGUGCCUGUGAUCUCCUUCUGAGUUUGAAAAAGAAGAUCCUAGACACCGAGCCAAAUAUGUUUGCAUAAACCGGGAGACUUGUGGCUCUAUUUUGUAACAGCUUGGCGCAGGGCAGCUGGUUUGGAGAUGUCUCUGUUCUUCCCUUGGUGGGGGUGCCGGAAAAAAUGUGCUGCCUGGGCGAUCGAGGUUGGGGCAAAAGCGUUGCAAAGGAAAAGGUGGGAGGACUCUACUUUCACAUUUCCCAAAAGAGUUUUACCAUAAGACUAUUUCUGGAUUGUUCUAACGUGAGGAUAUUGGGAGCAUUUUGAAAAUACUGGAGGAAAAGCUGUCACUGGGCGAUUUAAAUCCGAUUCCCCUUGUCGGCAAAGCCAGGCGCUGAUAGCGUUAUGGCUGCCAUGAGAGUCAGCAGUAUCCCAGCUUCCAAGGAUGGGUGUAAGGUGGGGGUGAGGAAGAAAAGGAACUUGAAGCUGCCUCCUGUCCCAGAAUCACAAGACAUCUGUUAAGCCCUUACUACCUCAUUCACUCCACUCACAUUAGGUUGACCCACUUGGGCAGCAAGACAAGCAGGCCUGCAAACUUCCUUUUCUUCAUCAGCCACAGAGACAUCCUCAGCUAUUAUUCUGGAUUAAGGCAGAGAUCUCCAAACAGCAGACUAAGAUCAGCCUCUAGAUCUCAAAGCCUUACUGUUAUCUCUCCAAGUCAGUGGCUGAUCUCAGAGAAGCUUCUGAAUAGUGACUAGCAAAGAGUCACUCAGGCUACUUACAAAUCCAGGACAGCAGCGUUUUUUUUUUUUUCUUUUUUAGAGACAGAUUCACUCUGUCAUCCAAGCUGGAGUGCAGUGGCACGAUCUUGGCUCACUGCAACCUCCACCUCCUGGGCUCAAGCAAUCCUCCUACCUCAGCCUCCCAAGUAGCUGGAACUACAGGUACCCAACACCAUGCCAGGCUAAUUUCUAAUUUUUUGUAGAGACAGCAGUCUCCCUCUGUUGCCCAGGCUGGCCUCAAACUCCUAGGCUCAAGUGUUCCUCCUGCCUGGGCCUCCCAAAGUGCUGGGAUCACAGAUGUGAGCCACUGCAUGCAG
This 1409-nucleotide long non-coding RNA is filed under the name Homo sapiens (human). Its description in RNAcentral is "HSALNT0035097". Lineage: Eukaryota; Metazoa; Chordata; Mammalia; Primates; Hominidae. The record is from RNAcentral.